AUUGUUGGUAGUGAUGGAGUCUUGCUGUGUGGCCCAGGCUUGUGUCAAACUCCUGGCUUCAAGCAAUCGCGCUAUUGCACUCCAGCCUGGGUGACAGAGCGAGACUCUGUCUCAGAAAAAGAAAGAAAGGAAAAAACACACAGUAAUAAUAAUAGCUAACACUUGUUAUCAUCAUUGCUGUGUGUUUUCUAGGGGUAAUUGUCUGCAUUUCCUUUUAGGCAGGAAGUUAUGUUCGUGAUGAUGCAGUCCCCAAUUUAAUCCAGCUAAUAACUAAUAGUGUGGAGAUGCAUGCCUAUACUGUCCAGCGCCUGUACAAAGCAAUUCUUGGUGAUUAUUCUCAACAACCUUUGGUACAGGUGGCUGCAUGGUGUAUAGGUGAAUAUGGUGAUCUUCUUGUAUCUGGCCAGUGUGAAGAGGAAGAGCCUAUUCAGGUAACAGAGGAUGAAGUGUUGGAUAUUUUAGAAAGUGUCCUAAUCUCUAAUAUGUCCACCUCUGUGACACGAGGUUAUGCCCUCACUGCCAUUAUGAAGCUUUCCACUCGA
RNAcentral lists this small RNA (542 nucleotides) under Pongo abelii (Sumatran orangutan). Its description in RNAcentral is "processed transcript". The record is from RNAcentral. Lineage: Eukaryota; Metazoa; Chordata; Mammalia; Primates; Hominidae.